GCUACCAUGCAAGUCGAACGAUGAACCGCUUUCGGGCGGGGAUUAGUGGCGAACGGGUGAGUAACACGUGGGCAAUCUGCCCUGCACUCUGGGACAAGCCCUGGAAACGGGGUCUAAUACCGGAUAUGACUGUCCGCCGCAUGGUGGAUGGUGUAAAGCUCCGGCGGUGCAGGAUGAGCCCGCGGCCUAUCAGCUUGUUGGUGAGGUAGUGGCUCACCAAGGCGACGACGGGUAGCCGGCCUGAGAGGGCGACCGGCCACACUGGGACUGAGACACGGCCCAGACUCCUACGGGAGGCAGCAGUGGGGAAUAUUGCACAAUGGGCGAAAGCCUGAUGCAGCGACGCCGCGUGAGGGAUGACGGCCUUCGGGUUGUAAACCUCUUUCAGCAGGGAAGAAGCGAGAGUGACGGUACCUGCAGAAGAAGCGCCGGCUAACUACGUGCCAGCAGCCGCGGUAAUACGUAGGGCGCAAGCGUUGUCCGGAAUUAUUGGGCGUAAAGAGCUCGUAGGCGGCUUGUCACGUCGGUUGUGAAAGCCCGGGGCUUAACCCCGGGUCUGCAGUCGAUACGGGCAGGCUAGAGUUCGGUAGGGGAGAUCGGAAUUCCUGGUGUAGCGGUGAAAUGCGCAGAUAUCAGGAGGAACACCGGUGGCGAAGGCGGAUCUCUGGGCCGAUACUGACGCUGAGGAGCGAAAGCGUGGGGAGCGAACAGGAUUAGAUACCCUGGUAGUCCACGCCGUAAACGGUGGGCACUAGGUGUGGGCAACAUUCCACGUUGUCCGUGCCGCAGCUAACGCAUUAAGUG
RNAcentral lists this ribosomal RNA (804 nucleotides) under Streptomyces violascens. RNAcentral describes it as "bacterial SSU rRNA". It matches the Rfam family "Bacterial small subunit ribosomal RNA", at positions 48 to 866 of the family's 1533-position model. The record is from RNAcentral. Lineage: Bacteria; Bacillati; Actinomycetota; Actinomycetes; Kitasatosporales; Streptomycetaceae.